Molecule: long non-coding RNA, 743 nt
Organism: Parasteatoda tepidariorum (common house spider)
Lineage: Eukaryota; Metazoa; Arthropoda; Arachnida; Araneae; Theridiidae
Source: RefSeq, a predicted model, not a curated record
CAAUUUAUUGAAAACUGUUGAUUUCAACUCGUGUAAGAAACACAUUUUAAACAACACUAAAAAAUACCUGUAAAAUUAUAACUUUUUUACAAUCAGUUUUGAAGAACUAAUAUCAGGUACAACAAAAUUCUUUUUUUGGCUCUUCUACAAUUUAUCUCCUUAAAUUGACAUUUGGUUCUGAUAAUGUUGUCAAAAACUGUUUAAAAAACCCUAGGCACUACAGAUCACGAAACUUGUGCCAUACUUUGAAAAUUCUUCUCGGGAAAAUCAAAGAGAGUCAACCGCCAGAUGUUCAUAAACCUUUUUGGAGGACCAUCAAUGGUUUAUUAAGAAGAUCAAUCGAUGUUUUAUCAGAAAACUCAUCAACAACGAUUCGAAGCAGACGUUUGCCAGCUGUUUCAAAAAAUCUUCGAAAAGAAGAAUGCAAUAAAGAUAUUCGAACUGUUCUGAAAGUGUCCGAUAUGAAAUGUCCAGUUCCAUUCUGGUUUGCAGUCCCCGAAAUGUUUCACCAUUCAAUCAAAAAAAUUGCAGAAGGAAGUUUUGCAGAAAUUUACGAAAUCAAGAAAGCUAACGGACAAAAAAGAAUCGUUAAGAUAGUAGCAGUCGGAGAUGUGGCACCACGAAGCAAGGAAGUGCAGUUAACUUUCAAAGAAAUGACCAGUGAGAUUUGUGCAUCAUUGGAACUAUCGAAAUUGGCCAAUGGAACAGAAUAUCGUUGUCCAUCGUACCCUUACAUAUACAGG